Molecule: unclassified non-coding RNA, 248 nt
Filed under: Pseudogymnoascus verrucosus
Lineage: Eukaryota; Fungi; Ascomycota; Leotiomycetes; Thelebolales; Thelebolaceae
Description: partial internal transcribed spacer region
Rfam family: Eukaryotic small subunit ribosomal RNA (bases 1-46)
Source: RNAcentral
AAGUCGUAACAAGGUUUCCGUAGGUGAACCUGCGGAAGGAUCAUUACAGUAGUCGCCCGGGUUGCCGCAAGGCCUCCCGGGUAACCUACCACCCUUUGUUUAUUACACUUUGUUGCUUUGGCAGGCCUGCCCUCGGGCUGCUGGCUCCGGCCGGCGAGCGCCUGCCAGAGGACCUAAACUCUGUUUGUCUAUACUGUCUGAGUACUAUAUAAUAGUUAAAACUUUCAACAACGGAUCUCUUGGUUCUG